GCAGAGACAAGGCUCCUGAUGCACAUCACAGGCUUGCUUCCCUGGCUCUGCUUGCAGCUUAGCAAGGAUGCAACAGUGGCACCUGCUUCACCACUUCACCAGCAGUGGCAAAAGGCUUGUUCCGUUGCAAAUAACAUUGCUCUUUGGUGUCGAGCAAAGUCAUCGAAUGAAUUAGCCACUGUUUUUGUUGCUUAUGCCCGAGGAGAGGUCAACAGCAUUGAGAACCUCCUUGCUUGUGUCUCACCACUAUUAUGCAAUGAAUGGUUUCCAAAGCACUCUGCUUUGGCUUUUGGGCACUUGCUAAAACUAUUGGAGAAAGGUCCGGUUGAGUAUCAGCGUGUGAUACUGCUAAUGCUCAAAGCGCUGCUUCAGCAUACUCCUAUGGAUGCUUCCCAAAGCCCGCAUAUGUNNNNNNNNAGCUGGUGGAGAGUACAUUGUGUUGGGAAGCAUUGAGCGUGCUGGAAGCCCUUUUGCAGAGCUGUAGUUCAUUGACAGGUUCCCACCCACAUGAGUCAGGUUCUUAUGAGAAUGGUGCUGAUGAUAAGAUGCUUGCUCCUCAGACCUCAUUUAAAGCUCGGAGUGGGCCCCUACAAUAUGCCAUGGGAUCAGGGUUUGGGGUUGCAUCCACACCAGGUACACAAAGCGGAAUUGAAUCAGGCAUUCCACCUAGAGAGGUGGCUUUACAGAACACGCGUCUGAUCCUGGGAAGAGUACUUGACAACUGUGCACUAGGGAGGAGGAGAGACUAUAGAAGGCUGGUGCCUUUUGUAACCAGUAUUGGAAACCCGUGAUGGACAAACAUAAUCAUCUAGUGUAUAUAGGAAAACUUUAGGUCCUGGUUUUGCAAGUAGGCAUAAUAAAUUAGAGGUUGUAGUUAGUGAUGUAAUAUUUUUGCAGUCAGUCAUCACUUGUUCGCUUGAAUCAUAAUUACUUUGCAGCUUUUCGUGCAAGUAAUUGAAAUGUGAAAACAUUGUUCCAGUCA
This 982-nucleotide unclassified non-coding RNA is filed under the name Hevea brasiliensis (rubber tree). The record is from RNAcentral. Lineage: Eukaryota; Viridiplantae; Streptophyta; Magnoliopsida; Malpighiales; Euphorbiaceae.